UACAGAGGUCUCAAGCGUUGUUCGGAAUCACUGGGCGUAAAGGGUGCGUAGGUGGCGUGGUAAGUCAGAUGUGAAAGCCCGGGGCUCAACCUCGGAAUUGCAUCCGAUACUGCCGUGCUAGAGUACUGAGAGGUGACUAGAAUUCUCGGUGUAGCAGUGAAAUGCGUAGGUAUCGAGAGGAAUACCAACGGCGAAGGCAGGUCACUGGGCA
RNAcentral lists this ribosomal RNA (211 nucleotides) under uncultured bacterium. RNAcentral describes it as "partial 16S ribosomal RNA". It matches the Rfam family "Bacterial small subunit ribosomal RNA", at positions 524 to 735 of the family's 1533-position model. The record is from RNAcentral.